AGAGUUUGAUCAUGGCUCAGAUUGAACGCUGGCGGCAUGCCUAACACAUGCAAGUCGAACGGCAGCACAGCAGUAGCAAUACUGUGGGUGGCGAGUGGCGGACGGGUGAGUAAUGCAUCGGGACCUGCCCAGACGUGGGGGAUAACGUAGGGAAACUUACGCUAAUACCGCAUACGUCCUACGGGAGAAAGCGGGGGAUCGAAAGACCUCGCGCGGUUGGAUGGACCGAUGUUCGAUUAGCUAGUUGGUGAGGUAAUGGCUCACCAAGGCGACGAUCGAUAGCUGGUCUGAGAGGAUGAUCAGCCACACUGGGACUGAGACACGGCCCAGACUCCUACGGGAGGCAGCAGUGGGGAAUAUUGGACAAUGGGCGAAAGCCUGAUCCAGCAAUGCCGCGUGUGUGAAGAAGGCCUUCGGGUUGUAAAGCACUUUUAUCAGGAGCGAAAUACUGCCGGCUAAUACCCGGCGGGGCUGACGGUACCUGAGGAAUAAGCACCGGCUAACUUCGUGCCAGCAGCCGCGGUAAUACGAAGGGUGCAAGCGUUAAUCGGAAUUACUGGGCGUAAAGCGUGCGUAGGCGGUUCUUUAAGUCUGCUGUGAAAUCCCCGGGCUCAACCUGGGAAUGGCAGUGGAUACUGGAGAGCUAGAGUGUGAUAGAGGAUGGUGGAAUUCCCGGUGUAGCGGUGAAAUGCGUAGAGAUCGGGAGGAACAUCAGUGGCGAAGGCGGCCAUCUGGAUCAACACUGACGCUGAGGCACGAAAGCGUGGGGAGCAAACAGGAUUAGAUACCCCAGUAGUCC
RNAcentral lists this ribosomal RNA (799 nucleotides) under uncultured bacterium. Its description in RNAcentral is "bacterial SSU rRNA". It matches the Rfam family "Bacterial small subunit ribosomal RNA", at positions 8 to 796 of the family's 1533-position model. The record is from RNAcentral.